GUUGUAUAGUCAAGUAAUUAAGUGCAUGUGGUGGAUGCCUUGGCAGUCAGAGGCGAUGAAAGACGUGAUAGCCUGCGAAAAGCUCCGGGGAGGCGGCAAAUAUCCUUUGAUCCGGAGAUGUCUGAAUGGGGGAACCCACCUACUUUAAGGUAGGUAUUGCAACAUGAAUACAUAGUGUUGCAAGGCGAACGAGGGGAAGUGAAACAUCUCAGUACCCUUAGGAAAAGAAAUCAAUUGAGAUUCCCUCAGUAGCGGCGAGCGAACGGGGAUCAGCCCAUUAAGUUAUGUGUGUUUUAGUGGAACGCUCUGGGAAGUGCGAACGUAGAGGGUGAUAUUCCCGUACACGAAAGGGCACACAUAAUGAUGACGAGUAGGGCGAGGCACGUGAAACCUUGUCUGAAUAUGGGGGGACCAUCCUCCAAGGCUAAAUACUCCUGACUGACCGAUAGUGAACCAGUACCGUGAGGGAAAGGCGAAAAGAACCCCUGUGAGGGGAGUGAAAUAGAUCCUGAAACCGCAUGCAUACAAGCAGUGGGAGCACCUUCGUGGUGUGACUGCGUACCUUUUGUAUAAUGGGUCAGCGACUUAUAUUCAGUAGCGAGGUUAACCGUAUAGGGGAGCCGUAGAGAAAUCGAGUCUUAAUAGGGCGUUUAGUUGCUGGGUAUAGACCCGAAACCAGGCGAUCUAUCCAUGAGCAGGUUGAAGGUUGGGUAACACUAACUGGAGGACCGAACCCACUGUCGUUGAAAAGCCAGGGGAUGACUUGUGGAUAGGGGUGAAAGGCUAAUCAAGCCUGGUGAUAGCUGGUUCUCCCGAAAGCUAUUUAGGUAGCGCCUCGGACGAAUACCAUAGGGGGUAGAGCACUGUUUCGGCUAGGGGGUCAUCCCGACUUACCAAACCGAUGCAAACUCCGAAUACCUAUGAGUACUAUCCGGGAGACAGACUGCGGGUGCUAACGUCCGUAGUCAAGAGGAAAACAAUCCAGACCGCCAGCUAAGGCCCCAAAAUCAUAGUUAAGUGGGAAACGAUGUGGGAAGGCAUAGACAGCUAGGAGGUUGGCUUAGAAGCAGCCACCCUUUAAAGAAAGCGUAAUAGCUCACUAGUCGAGUCGGCCUGCGCGGAAGAUGUAACGGGGCUAAAACUAUGUGCCGAAGCUGCGGAUGUAUACUUUGUAUACGUGGUAGGGGAGCGUUCUGUAAGCCGAUGAAGGUGUGUUGAGAAGCAUGCUGGAGGUAUCAGAAGUGCGAAUGCUGACGUGAGUAACGACAAAACGGGUGAAAAACCCGUUCGCCGAAAGACCAAGGGUUCCAGUCCAACGUUAAUCGGGGCUGGGUGAGUCGACCCCUAAGGCGAGGCCGAAAGGCGUAGUCGAUGGGAAAAUGGUUAAUAUUCCAUUACUUCUGUGUAAUGCGAUGAGAGGACGGAGAAGGCUAAAUCAGCCUGGCGUUGGUUGUCCAGGUGAAAGGAUGUAGGCAUGUAUCUUAGGCAAAUCCGGGGUACUCUAUGCUGAGAUCUGAUAGCAAGCUGUACUUGUACAGCGAAGUGGUUGAUGCCAUGCUUCCAGGAAAAGUCUCUAAGCUUCAGUUACACAGGAAUCGUACCCGAAACCGACACAGGUGGUCAGGUCGAGUAGACCAAGGCGCUUGAGAGAACUCUGCUGAAGGAACUAGGCAAAAUGGUACCGUAACUUCGGGAGAAGGUACGCUGUUGUUGGUGAUGGAACUCGCUUCCUGAGCUGACGACAGCCGCAGAAACCAGGCCGCUGCAACUGUUUAUUAAAAACAUAGCACUCUGCAAACACGAAAGUGGACGUAUAGGGUGUGAUGCCUGCCCGGUGCUGGAAGGUUAAUUGAUGGGGUUAGCGUAAGCGAAGCUCUUGAUCGAAGCCCCAGUAAACGGCGGCCGUAACUAUAACGGUCCUAAGGUAGCGAAAUUCCUUGUCGGGUAAGUUCCGACCUGCACGAAUGGCAUAAUGAUGGCGGCGCUGUCUCCAGCAGAGGCUCAGUGAAAUCGAAAUCGCUGUGAAGAUGCAGUGUACCCGCGGCUAGACGGAAAGACCCGUGAACCUUUACUGCAGCUUGACACUGAACUUUGACCUUACUUGUGUAGGAUAGGUGGGAGGCUUUGAAGCUGGAACGCUAGUUCCAGUGGAGCCGUCCUUGAAAUACCACCCUGGUAAUGUUGAGGUUCUAACUCUGUCCCGUGAUCCGGGACGAGGACCGUGUCUGGUGGGUAGUUUGACUGGGGCGGUCUCCUCCUAAAGAGUAACGGAGGAGUACGAAGGUGCGCUCAGCGUGGUCGGAAAUCACGCGUAGAGUAUAAAGGCAAAAGCGCGCUUAACUGCGAGACCCACAAGUCGAGCAGGUACGAAAGUAGGUCUUAGUGAUCCGGUGGUUCUGUAUGGAAGGGCCAUCGCUCAACGGAUAAAAGGUACUCUGGGGAUAACAGGCUGAUACCGCCCAAGAGUUCAUAUCGACGGCGGUGUUUGGCACCUCGAUGUCGGCUCAUCUCAUCCUGGGGCUGAAGCAGGUCCAAGGGUAUGGCUGUUCGCCAUUUAAAGAGGUACGCGAGCUGGGUUUAGAACGUCGUGAGACAGUUCGGUCCCUAUCUACCGUGGGCGCUGGAAAUUUGAGAGGAUCUGCUCCUAGUACGAGAGGACCAGAGUGGACGAACCUCUGGUGUACCGGUUGUGACGCCAGUCGCAUCGCCGGGUAGCUAUGUUCGGAAGGGAUAACCGCUGAAAGCAUCUAAGCGGGAAGCCUACCUCAAGAUAAGAUUUCCCUAGGACUUUAUGUCCUCUAAAGAGCCGUUCGAGACUAGGACGUUGAUAGGUUGGAUGUGGAAGCAUAGUGAUAUGUGAAGCUGACCAAUACUAAUUGCUCGUGAGGCUUGACUAUACAACACCCAAGCAGUUG
Molecule: ribosomal RNA, 2915 nt
Filed under: Acinetobacter baumannii
Lineage: Bacteria; Pseudomonadati; Pseudomonadota; Gammaproteobacteria; Moraxellales; Moraxellaceae
Description: bacterial LSU rRNA
Rfam family: Bacterial large subunit ribosomal RNA
Source: RNAcentral